GGUUGUAUAGUGUAGCGGUUAGCACGUGAGAUUCUGAAAACAGAGUCAUGUUCUUGGAACGUUCUCGAGUGUAAGUCAUCCAUACAUUCGCUACCCAUAUGACGAUCAGUCUAAUAAUAUAAACCCCAGCCCUGGUUCGAAUCCUGGUACGACCU
Molecule: transfer RNA, 155 nt
Rfam family: tRNA
About the family: Transfer RNA (tRNA) molecules are approximately 80 nucleotides in length. Their secondary structure includes four short double-helical elements and three loops (D, anti-codon, and T loops).